AUUGAACGCUAGCGGGAGGCCUUACACAUGCAAGUCGAACGGAGCGGCGAACGGGCGAGUAAUGUAUUGGAACGUGCCCAGCAGCGGGGGAGAACUACGCGAAAGCGUAGCUAAUACCGCACACAAUUGGUGCGGCCGACAUGGGAUUAGCUAGUUGGUGGGGUAAGGGCCCACCUAGGCGACGAUCCGUAGCUGGUUUGAGAGGAGGACAAGCCACACUGGAACUGAGACACGGCCCAGACUCCUACGGGAGGCAGCAGUGGGGAAUUUUGUACAAUGGGAGAAACCCUGAUCCAGCCAUCCCGCGUGUGGGAUGAAGGCCUUCGGGUUGUAAAGCACUUUUGGCAGGAAAGCGGUACCUGCAGAAUAAGCACCGGCUAACUCCGUGCCAGCAGCCGCGGUAAUUC
RNAcentral lists this ribosomal RNA (407 nucleotides) under uncultured bacterium. RNAcentral's name for it is "partial 16S ribosomal RNA". It matches the Rfam family "Bacterial small subunit ribosomal RNA", at positions 30 to 526 of the family's 1533-position model. The record is from RNAcentral.